GCCAGUGUGGCAUAGCAGUUUGAGUGUUGGACCACAACGCUGGAGAACAGGGUUCGAAUCCCUGCCUGGCC
This is a non-coding RNA of Phrynosoma platyrhinos (Desert horned lizard), 71 nucleotides long. Lineage: Eukaryota; Metazoa; Chordata; Lepidosauria; Squamata; Phrynosomatidae. The record is from the annotation of a GenBank genome assembly.